Molecule: ribosomal RNA, 497 nt
Filed under: uncultured bacterium
Lineage: Bacteria
Description: partial 16S ribosomal RNA
Rfam family: Bacterial small subunit ribosomal RNA
Source: RNAcentral
GAUGAACGCUGGCGGCGUGCCUAAUACAUGCAAGUCGAGCGAACAGACGAGGAGCUUGCUCCUCUGACGUUAGCGGCGGACGGGUGAGUAACACGUGGAUAACCUACCUAUAAGACUGGGAUAACUUCGGGAAACCGGAGCUAAUACCGGAUAAUAUAUUGAACCGCAUGGUUCAAUAGUGAAAGACGGUUUUGCUGUCACUUAUAGAUGGAUCCGCGCCGCAUUAGCUAGUUGGUAAGGUAACGGCUUACCAAGGCAACGAUGCGUAGCCGACCUGAGAGGGUGAUCGGCCACACUGGAACUGAGACACGGUCCCGACUCCUACGGGAGGCAGCAGUAGGGAACCUUCCGCAAUGGGCGAAAGCCUGACGGAGCAACGCCGCGUGAGUGAUGAAGGUCUUCGGAUCGUAAAACUCUGUUAUUAGGGAAGAACAAAUGUGUAAGUAACUAUGCACGUCUUGACGGUACCUAAUCAGAAAGCCACGGCUAACUACGUG